GAUGAAGAACGUAGCGAAAUGCGAUACGUAAUGUGAAUUGCAGAAUUCAGUGAAUCAUCGAAUCUUUGAACGCAUAUUGCGCUCUCUGGUAUUCCGGAGAGCAUGCUUGUUUGAGUAUCAGUAAACACCUCAACUUCCAUAUCUUUUUUGAAAUGGGAGUUGGACCUGAGUGAUCCCAACGCUUUUCCUCACCGAAAAGUGGCGGGUUACUUGAAAUGCAGGUGCAGCUGGACUUUUCUCUGAGCUAUAAGCAUAUCUAUUUAGUCUGCCUAAAAAACAGAUUAUUACCUUUGCUGCAGCUAACAUAAAGGAGAUUAGUUCUUGUGCUGACUGAUGCAGGAUUCACAAAGACGGCUUCGGCCGACUUUGUAAACUCGAUCUCAAAUCAAGUAAGACUACCCGCUGAACUUAAGCAUAUCAAUAAGCGGAGGA
This 432-nucleotide unclassified non-coding RNA is filed under the name soil metagenome. RNAcentral describes it as "partial contains 5.8S ribosomal RNA, internal transcribed spacer 2, and large subunit ribosomal RNA". The stretch from base 1 to 120 matches the Rfam family "5.8S ribosomal RNA", at positions 35 to 154 of the family's 154-position model. The record is from RNAcentral.